This 152-nucleotide small RNA is filed under the name Pan troglodytes (chimpanzee). RNAcentral's name for it is "processed transcript". Lineage: Eukaryota; Metazoa; Chordata; Mammalia; Primates; Hominidae. The record is from RNAcentral.
GAACCUGGCUCCUUCCUGUAUUAUGCUCCCUUCGAUGGCAUCCUGGGGCUGGCCUACCCCAGCAUUUCCUCCUCCGGGGCCACACCCGUCUUUGACAACAUCUGGAACCAGGGCCUGGUUUCUCAGGACCUCUUCUCUGUCUACCUCAGCGC